This is a long non-coding RNA of Vitis riparia (riverbank grape), 322 nucleotides long. RefSeq lists it as uncharacterized. The transcript has 3 exons. The record is from RefSeq and is a predicted model, not a curated record. Lineage: Eukaryota; Viridiplantae; Streptophyta; Magnoliopsida; Vitales; Vitaceae.
AUUGAAUAGGCGGUCGUUGGAGGUUGAUUCCAGAGACGCCUAUGGAUUUGCAUUGAGACCUCAACACCUUCAAAGAUAUAGAGAGUGCUGUGAAAUAUACAAGGAGGAGGAAGAGGAGAGAGGACACAUAAAUGGAAGCAAUUCCUUGAACAGCAAAAGGAGUCUUCUCUAGUUUGUGCUUUUGUGGAGGAAUAUAACAACACUUUGCUUACUGAAAUUACACGGGAGGAAGCAGAGUCUGUUCCAGGGAGGGGUGGGGAAGGGAAUGUGUCAAGUAGCAAGAAGUCUGUUUCUGAUGGUUCAACAGAAAGUGACCAACAAA